This 495-nucleotide ribosomal RNA is filed under the name uncultured bacterium. RNAcentral's name for it is "partial 16S ribosomal RNA". It matches the Rfam family "Bacterial small subunit ribosomal RNA", at positions 28 to 507 of the family's 1533-position model. The record is from RNAcentral.
GACGAACGCUGGCGGCGUGCCUAAUACAUGCAAGUAGAACGCUGAAGGAGGAGCUUGCUUCUCUGGAUGAGUUGCGAACGGGUGAGUAACGCGUAGGUAACCUGCCUGGUAGCGGGGGAUAACUAUUGGAAACGAUAGCUAAUACCGCAUAAUAGUAGAUGUUGCAUGACAUUUGCCUCAAAGGUGCAAUUGCAUCACUACCAGAUGGACCUGCGUUGUAUUAGCUAGUUGGUGGGGUAACGGCUCACCAAGGCGACGAUACAUAGCCGACCUGAGAGGGUGAUCGGCCACACUGGGACUGAGACACGGCCCAGACUCCUACGGGAGGCAGCAGUAGGGAAGCGUCGGCAAUGGACGGAAGUCUGACCGAGAAACGCCGCGUGAGUGAAGAAGGUUUUCGGAUCGUAAAGCUCUGUUGUAAGAGAAGAACGAGUGUGAGAGUGGAAAGUUCACACUGUGACGGUAUCUUACCAGAAAGGGACGGCUAACUACGUG